RNAcentral lists this ribosomal RNA (916 nucleotides) under Pantoea sp. RNAcentral's name for it is "partial 23S ribosomal RNA". It matches the Rfam family "Bacterial large subunit ribosomal RNA", at positions 1 to 961 of the family's 2925-position model. Lineage: Bacteria; Pseudomonadati; Pseudomonadota; Gammaproteobacteria; Enterobacterales; Erwiniaceae. RNAcentral also lists the same sequence under 1 other name. The record is from RNAcentral.
UUAGCGACUAAGCGUACACGGUGGAUGCCCUGGCAGUCAGAGGCGAUGAAGGACGUGCUAAUCUGCGAAAAGCGCCGGCGAGKUGAUAUGAACCUUUGACCCGGCGAUGUCCGAAUGGGGAAACCCAGUGCGAAUCCGUCACACUAUCGUUAACUGAAUACAUAGGUUAACGAGGCGAACCGGGGGAACUGAAACAUCUAAGUACCCCGAGGAAAAGAAAUCAACCGAGAUUCCCCCAGUAGCGGCGAGCGAACGGGGAGCAGCCCGGAGUCUGAAUCAGCUUGUGUGUUAGUGGAACGGUCUGGAAAGUCCGACGGUACAGGGUGAUAGUCCCGUACACGAAAGCACACAGGUUGUGAACUCGAAGAKWRGGGCGGGACACGUGGUAUCCUGUCUGAAUAUGGGGGGACCAUCCUCCAAGGCUAAAUACUCCUGACUGACCGAUAGUGAACCAGUACCGUGAGGGAAAGGCGAAAAGAACCCCGGCGAGGGGAGUGAAAAAGAACCUGAAACUGUGUACGUACAAGCAGUGGGAGCCUCUUUAUGGGAUGACUGCGUACCUUUUGUAUAAUGGGUCAGCGACUUAUAUUCUGUAGCAAGGUUAACCGUAUAGGGGAGCCGAAGGGAAACCGAGUCUUAACUGGGCGUUAAGUUGCAGGGUAUAGACCCGAAACCCGGUGAUCUAGCCAUGGGCAGGUUGAAGGUUGGGUAACACUAACUGGAGGACCGAACCGACUAAUGUUGAAAAAUUAGCGGAUGACCUGUGGCUGGGGGUGAAAGGCCAAUYAAACCGGGAGAUAGCUGGUUCUCCCCGAAAGCUAUUUAGGUAGCGCYUCGUGAACUCAUCUUCGGGGGUAGAGCACUGUUUCGGCUAAGGGGGSCAUCCCGGCUUACCAAACCCGAUGCAAAMUGCGAA